GACGAACGCUGGCGGCGUGCUUAACACAUGCAAGUCGAGCGAGGCCCCUCCUUCGGGAGGGUGUCCUAGCGGCGAACGGGUGAGUAACACGUGGGCAACCUGCCCUCAGCUCUGGGAUAACUCCGGGAAACCGGGGCUAAUACCGGAUACGACCUCCACGGGCAUCUGCGGAGGUGGAAAGUUUUUCGGCAGGGGAUGGGCCCGCGGCCUAUCAGCUAGUUGGUGGGGUAGUGGCCCACCAAGGCGACGACGGGUAGCCGGCCUGGGAGGGCGACCGGCCACACGGGGACUGAGAGACGGCCCAGACUCCUACGGGAGGCAGCAGUGGGGAAUAUUGCGCAAUGGGCGAAAGCCUGACGCAGCGACGCCGCGUGAGGGACGAAGGCCUUCGGGUUGUAAACCUCUUUCAGCAGGGACGAAGCGAAAGUGACGGUACCUGCAGAAGAAGCACCGGCCAACUACGUG
Molecule: ribosomal RNA, 465 nt
Filed under: uncultured bacterium
Lineage: Bacteria
Description: partial 16S ribosomal RNA
Rfam family: Bacterial small subunit ribosomal RNA
Source: RNAcentral